GGGGAAUCUUGCGCAAUGGGCGAAAGCCUGACGCAGCGACGCCGCGUGCGGGAAGACGGCCUUCGGGUUGUAAACCGCUUUCAGCAGGGACGAAAUUGACGGUACCUGCAGAAGAAGCUCCGGCCAACUACGUGCCAGCAGCCGCGGUAAGACGUAGGGGGCGAGCGUUGUCCGGAUUUAUUGGGCGUAAAGGGCUCCUAGGUGGUUCAGUAAGUCGACUGUGAAAAUCCAAGGCUCAACCUUGGGACGCCAGUCGAUACUGCUGUGACUUGAGUUCGGUAGAGGAGUGUGGAAUUUCUGGUGUAGCGGUGAAAUGCGCAGAUAUCAGAAGGAACACCAACGGCGAAGGCAGCACUCUGGGCCGAUACUGACACUGAAGAGCGAAAGCGUGGGGAGCAAAC
RNAcentral lists this ribosomal RNA (401 nucleotides) under uncultured bacterium. RNAcentral's name for it is "bacterial SSU rRNA". It matches the Rfam family "Bacterial small subunit ribosomal RNA", at positions 356 to 773 of the family's 1533-position model. The record is from RNAcentral.